RNAcentral lists this long non-coding RNA (6546 nucleotides) under Daucus carota (carrot). Its description in RNAcentral is "long non-coding RNA (DCAR_LNC001338)". Lineage: Eukaryota; Viridiplantae; Streptophyta; Magnoliopsida; Apiales; Apiaceae. The record is from RNAcentral.
UGCCAAUCGGAUCGACAAAGGACCACCCGAUCACGUGCCCAAUGGGGGACGCUGCGCCCCCCAUUGGGAGCCUAAAAAUGCCGCCAAUGAUGCUCUGCGUGGCGGAGACUGAUCUGUUCAUGGACCGUGAAAUGGAAUAUUACGAGGCCGUGAAAAAAGCAAGGAAAGAUGUUGAGCUGUUCUUAAGUGCUGGAGUGAGUCAUUGUUUCUACUUGAACAAAAUUGCAGUCGAUUUAGAUCCUCUAACAUCUACACGAACUGAAGAAUUGAUUGCAGCAAUAACAGAAUUCAUCAAGAGCCACUAAGUUCUGGUUUGUAUUGCAUUGAGAUGCUAUUAUGCGUUUGUGGUAAUGAUUUCGAACUAUUUAUGUACUUGUCUUAUCUAUUGCUUUUUCGAAUCCUUCAACUUUCUGUAGUUUUUCACUGUAUAAGACUUUGUAUUCAUAGAUAAAAAAUCAGGUUUCGCAUCUUAAUUAUCAUAACAAGUUCGAAUAGUACAGUAUUAUUUCCUCAAGGAUGAAACUGAGAUUCUUAGCCCUUUUCUCCCAUAGAGACAAUGACCCUGUUUAUCAAUUAUCAAUUAGUUAUUAGCGGAUAGACACUUUUAGUAGGCUUAUCAUAAUAGUUGUUUUCAGACCCUCUACUAUAAUCCAAAUUCGUUUUUUUUCCUCGACUCCUAGCAUUUAAAGAGGAUAAUUGGGCGGUUUGGCUAGCUUAAAAAAAAAAUGAAGGCAGAAGCAGCUUCUGUUUCUCCUAACCAAACAGGCCCGAUAUAUAAAGUGCAGUUAUCUUUUCCGCAACCGAGAUAAUCGAGGCUUCUUUCAUGGUGGAACACAUUGUCAUAUUCCUCGGGAAGUCAUAUAUUUUGCUAUUAAGCAAAAUGUGAUGAUAUAACAAUAAUAUUUGGAUAUAUCUACUGUUGUUGCAUUUUCAUGACAAGUUAUCAAAAUAAUGUAAAAAAAAACGCAUUCUGCUUGUUCUGUAACAGAAUGUCAAACUUGAGAUUUUAAUUUACUUCCGCAGGCGGCUCUAGGAAGCUAAAACUCCUAGUGGCUUUGUUAAAUAAAAACCAAAAGAUUAAACAACGAACACGUUACUAUUUCAAGAAAACAUCUUCUGACUUGCUCUGGUACUAAACGUCAAGUUGAAUAUAAAAUUACAAUUUCAUUCCAUAGUUGUAAUCUCAAAUUCCUUUUUUUACUCAAAAGAAAGCCAUCACACAAAAAUAAUCGUGUCAUUAUUUUAUGAGAUUUACAUCUCAUCACUACAGUAACUUGAAGUUAAGAAAACACUAAGCAACAAUAACGUUAGUUAGGCGCUUUAUAAUACUCACCAUAUGAUCUGGUUGACAUUAGUUAGCAAUUUUUUUUAUCACAAUUUGAUCCCUCAGCGUAAUCUCACUUCUCAAAGUAUUUGUCUUCUACACAUGAAGUCUAUAAAAUUACAGCAAUAUCUCACUCUUCACAUAACAUUACCAAUGGUUAACGAAAAGAAAUUAGUCGAGGAUGUCUCUGGCUGGCUCAGAGUUUAUGAUGAUGGCUCCGUCGACAGAACAUGGACCGGUCCGCCCGAAGUUAGCUUUAUGACGGAUACGGUCAUGCCUCAUGAAAAUUUUGUCGACGGAGUUGCUGUUAAGGACGUAGAUACGGACUCGGGAGCCCGAGUCCGUAUCUACUUGCCAGAAAAAAAUAAUUCGGAUUCGGCAACUUUGCCUAUCAUCCUUCAUUUUCACGGAGGGGGCUUUUGCAUAAGCGAAGCCAGUUGGUUCAUGUACUAUGCUGUGUACACUAGACUAGCUCGCUCCUCGCGCUCUAUAGUCGUCUCUGUCUACCUGCGGAGAGCUCCAGAGCAUCGCCUCCCAGCAGCUUGCGAAGACAGCUACAACGCACUCCUUUGGCUCCGUUCAUUAGCCAAAGGAGACCUGCACGAGGCCUGGCUUAAUGCAAACGCCGACUUCACACGGGUGUUCCUCAUGGGAGACAGCACCGGUGGGAAUCUUGUGCAUCAAGUUGCAUCUCGUGCAGGGAGCGAGGGGCUAGAGCUAAAGCUUAGCCCCUCGCAUGUGGCAGGAGGAAUCCUGGUCCAGCCAGGAUUCGUCCGCGCUACAAGAAGUAAAUCAGAGUUGGAGCAGCCACAAUCUCCGUUCUUGACACUAGACAUGAUGGACAAAUUCUUGAGCUUUGCCUUGCCACUUGGAUCCACAAAGGACCACCCCAUCACAUGCCCAAUGGGGGCCGCUGCGCCCCCGAUGAGCAGCCUGAAAAUGCCCCCAAUGCUGCUCUGCGUGGCAGAGACUGAUCUGAUGAUCGAUACUGAGAUGGAGUAUUAUGAGGCCAUGAAAAAAGCAGGGAAAGAUGUUGAGCUGUUCUUGAGUCCAGGAGUUGGGCAUGGUUUCUAUAUGAACAAGAUUGCAAGCGAUUUGGAUCCGGUAACAGCUACACGUACCCAAGAACUGAUUGCAGCAAUCACAGAUUUCAUUAAGAAGCAUUAAGUUCAACAGUUUGUUUGUGCAUUGACUUGCUAUCACGUGUUUGUUAGUUAACAAGGUUUUAUCAUUUAUGCAUGUACUGAUGUACAUUUCGUAUUUUUCAUGUGAAGCUAAAAUAUUUACUGAAAAUUUACCAAACACUUGAAGAAGUUCCAGGCCUCCAUGUCGAAGGUUCUUGCUGAUGUAUCUUGUUAAUUAAUUGCUACUUGAGAGCUGAGACCUGAGAUGAAGUCCGAUGAAUUAGAUUGAGCUCUUGCUAUAACUUAGUAUCAAAACUUGUUUUUUGAUGUUAAAUUAACAAAUAUGUAUUCAAUUUUGUCAACAAAAAAAAAAGUAUUCAAUGAUGCUAUAUUCCACUAUUUUAUUGAUAAAUUUAAUUUUUCAAAUUAAUUUUACAUCAAGGACUCAUUAUAUUUAUUUUUGACCAACUCUUCAGGCAAACUUACUGAGAGGGCCUGUGUUUACAUUUUUUUGGUCUAUUUGUUUUAUAUUUAGAACAUAUUAUAACAUUGUUCAAUUUUAGCAUAAGAUAUAGAAAAUGAUUUUUAGUUUUUAUUUAAUAAUAAAAUUAUAGAGUAAGAUAUAACACUGGAUUUGCUCUGACAGAUUUAAUUUUUACAAAUCAUUAAUACAUACAUAAUAUAUAAUUCAAAAUUUAUUACUUAUUAUUUAAUUUUAAACAUAUUUUAUUUAAUUGUUGGAAAGAAAUUCGGAAUUCUACAAUGGUGUUAUGAAUUUCUUAAAUAUAUGCAAAUGAGUAGUAAAAUGUAAAUAACUUCUUGAUUUUAAUGUGUCAAUAUCGGUAGUUUUUACUCUCUUUUUUUUUCACUUUAUAACUAAAUUAAUCACAGAGUAAAACGCUUUUGAUGAUCAUGUGUGCCGCAGAGAGCCAACGAUGCUCGUGAUUCGUUAGCCACACGCUGAAGUUUAAUCAAAAGAGGUAUGUUCCACAUGCUUACAAAUAAUCAAAAGAGGUAUGGCUGCUUCCUCCAGUCAAAAGAAGGUUAAUUACCGGAAAUGAAAGGCUUUGAAAAUUGACACAAUCCUUAAUUGCUUUACACAGAUUAGUCGCACUAAUUAACUAGAAAAUGAUUGAUACAAUUGCAUAGGGCUGCUCUUUUUGCUAGUGUGUCUCCACUGACAAGUUUCUGUUUUGUGGUCCUAAUUUGUGAACAAAUAUAUACAUAGCAGAAAUAACUUCUAAAAUAUAAUAUAUAGAAAGUUUUUAUUAGUUUGAUCAAUCAUACUCCAUAGUUUACAAUCAUAAUUAAUGAUCCGAUUCUACGCAUCUAAAUUUUAUAUCAGUAAUCAGAAUCAAGCUUUGAUUAUACGUACGUAAAAAUUACUCCCAUAAGGAGAAAUUCUUCGAAAUCGAGCUAGAAGCAAUGGGGGGACAGACGGGUACAAAGUCUCUGUCAAAUUAUUGUACGCUUCCUAACUGAAUUAUAACACGGGGUAACCCGGUUUGUCCUUUCAAAACAACCACCUUCGAUUUGUGUCAGUAAAAUUUUAAAUUUAAGACAACGGUCAACCAAAAAAUUCUCAUAAAAUAUGUUUUAAGUAGUGGAAAAAAUUAUAAAAAAAAUUAAGAAUGACGAAUGAAAUAUUUCACAAUUCACUAUUUGCCGUUAAAAUUGAUUUUAAAAUCUCGAUUGAUUUUAUAAACUAUAAUUUGUCAUAUAGAUCCGAUUAAUUCAGAAUUAAUAAUACUCAAGUUCAGUUUGGUUAAAUUUAUAAAAUUACCGAUGGGUAACAAGAACAUUCAAAUACUAGUACGCGAUCCUGACAAAAAAAAUAAAACUAGUGCGUGACAAUUGACGUCGACGAAAAUGUUGGACAAUUUUAUUUGAUUCAUAUGUAAUUGGGCCUGUAAUUGAUAAUUAAAAGCUCAAAUUCAUAUACUCAAUUUAUAUAACUAUUUUAGGUGCCGAGUAGUACAGUGGAAUCCAUGUUUUCCUGACAAUUUCCGAUCACUAACUUCCGUGGUUGUUAUCCAGUGAAGUUUCUAGUGUUGAAAACAGACUUAAAAACAUUUAUUCAAAGAAAUAAAAGUCUCCACAGCCUUUCACACUUGAUUUUCGAAUUUUAUUGAAGAAUGUUUGGUUUAACUAACUGGUACGCGCCUAUUUUUCCAACGUACAAGAGGACUGUUGACUAUUCCUUCACUAACAAAUACUCCCUCCGUCCCACCAGAUUCUUUACAGUUUCCUUAUUUGGCCGUCCCAUCCAUUUCUUUACAUUACAAAACUUUCCUAAAAUAGUUAAUGGGACACGCCACUUUCUCACUUUUUCUUCCUUUUCACACUACUUUUACUCCACUAUCUCUUUUUUAUAUAUUAAAAAUCAGUGGGUCUCACCACUUCACCCACUUUUUCUUCCCUUUUCUACUACUUUAUACAUAUUUCUUAACCUCCGUGCCCAAACCCAAUGUAAAGAAUUGGGUGGGACGGAGGGAGUAUUAACUAAAAUCGUCAAACAGCUGAAUUAUAUGCCAAUAUAAAAAAGUUAAAUAACAAAUUAAUGCCAUCUCAAAAAAUUAGAAAAACUGUCCCGAUUAAAGACCGCUUGAUAAUUGAUUAGCUAUAAUAAAAUUUUCGUUAUUUUUUGCAACUAUAUAAAUUACCUAAAUGUUGCGAAUUGUUUCCAUAUCUUUUAUCAGUUUAAUCUUUUACCAACUAUUACUGGCUCAAAAUAUAGUUUCAUAAUUUUUUUAAAUAGAAAUUUAAAAAUCAAAUUUUUAUAUAGAAAAAAAAUUCAAAAAUAUAUUAUGAAAUUAUACUUUAAAUAAGUCUUAAAAAACGUGUCAAUAAGUAACAUGAACAAACGAGAGAUACGGGAGAGUAUGUGAAUUAGUUCGUAAUCAACUGUAUUUAUCUUAUCUUGAAAUUUCCUCAUUUGAUUAGUCGUUAGACUUCUUGUCAAGUUUUCUCUUUGCGUUCCUUUAAUUUUCCAUGAAGAGUUGGUUAAAUUACACGGAAAUAACUAGGGAAAACAUAGUGACCCCAUUCCAUUUGUUUAGAGAAUCUCAACCCCUCCAAAAGCACUAUAAAAACAGACCAAUAUCUCACUCUUUAACACAUCAUUACCAUCAAACAUUCAAACACAUACUCAUAUCAUUUUACAAAACCUCAUUUCACAGCAAACAAAAAAUCAAAAAUGGUCCACCAGAAAAAGGUAGUCGAGGAAGUCUCUGGCUGGCUCAGAGUUUACGAUGAUGGCUCUGUCGACAGAACAUGGACCGGUCCACCCGAAGUCAGCUUUAUGGCUGAACCGGUCAUGCCUCAUGAAAAUUUUGUCGACGGAGUUGCUGUCAAGGACGUAGAUACGGACUCAGGAACCCGAGUCCGUAUCUACUUACCAGAAAAAAAGGCUACAGAUUCUGAAACCUUGCCUAUCAUCCUUCAUUUCCACGGAGGUGGCUUUUGCAUUAGCGAAGCCGAUUGGUUUAUGUACUAUGCUGUGUACACUAGACUAGCUCGCACCUCUCGUUCCAUAGUAGUCUCGGUCUACCUCCCGAGAGCUCCCGAGCAUCGUCUCCCAGCAGCUUGCGACGCAAGCUACUUUGCUCUCCUCUGGCUCCGUUCUAUAGCCAGAGGAAAGCUGCACGAGACGUGGCUUAAUGCACACGCAGACUUCACCCGUGUGUUCCUCAUUGGAGACAGCUCGGGUGGGAAUCUCGUGCACGAGGUCUCGGCUCGUGCAGGGGCCGAGGACCUCAGCCCCUUGCGUGUGGCAGGAGCGAUCCCGAUUCACCCCGGAUUCGUCCGUGCCACACGAAGCAAAUCUGAGCUGGAGCAGCCACAAUCUCCGUUCCUGACACUAGACAUGCUGGACAAAUUUCUAAAUUUCGCUCUGCCAAUCGGAUCGACAAAGGACCAUCCGAUCACGUGUCCGAUGGGGGACGCUGCGCCCCCCAUUGGGAGCAUAAAAAUGCCGCCAAUGAUGCUCUGCGUGGCGGAGACUGAUCUGAUCAUUGACACUGAGAUGGAAUAUUAUGAGGCCAUGAAAAAAGCAGGGAAAGAUGUUGAGUUGUAUCUUAGUGGUGGAGUGGGACACAG